GAAAAUCACUCCUUCUGUUGAGGAGAUGAAAAAGUUGGACUUAUCUCAUUUUUUUUAUCAAGGGAAAGGAUAAGAAGAAGGAGGUGAGCGAGAAUUUAUCUGAUUCAGAAGAUGAUAAAGCUGAGUAUCAAGGUGGUGAGGCAUCAUCUUCAGCUUUACCAAAGAAAAGAUUGCAUCUUGAUCAUUUUGAGAAAGAGCUGCAGACGUUGGUUUCUUCUCAAAAUAAAAUUGUGGAAGAUUUGAACUGCUUUAAAGAUUAUGUGACUCUUCAGUUUACUAAUCUUUUUAAAGUUCUUGAUUCAAUCAAGAAGAGCUCAAAUGUAAUUGAAGAGCAGACAAACUUGCAUAAUGGAGCUUCAAUUAGUGAUAAUGGGUCUGAUGACAAGGAGGAGGAUAUAUCGUUUAAGGUGAUCAAUCGCAAUAUUGUUCAACCUAUUGUGGAAAAAAAGAACAAUUUGGCGGAGGAUGAUACGGCAGUAGAGAAUAAAAAGGAGGUUGAGCAACAAGAUCAAACUAAUUUAUCUCAAGUUGAUGAAGCAGCAAAUGAGUUUGAUAAAGUUUCUAGUGAUG
Mercurialis annua (annual mercury) is the source of this 570-nucleotide long non-coding RNA. RefSeq lists it as uncharacterized. NCBI's taxonomy places the organism in Eukaryota, Viridiplantae, Streptophyta, Magnoliopsida, Malpighiales, Euphorbiaceae. The transcript is spliced from 3 exons. The record is from RefSeq and is a predicted model, not a curated record.